RNAcentral lists this ribosomal RNA (253 nucleotides) under uncultured bacterium. Its description in RNAcentral is "partial 16S ribosomal RNA". It matches the Rfam family "Bacterial small subunit ribosomal RNA", at positions 524 to 776 of the family's 1533-position model. The record is from RNAcentral.
UACAGAGGGGGCAAGCGUUGUUCGGAAUUACUGGGCGUAAAGGGUGCGUAGGCGGCGCGGUAAGUCGGGUGUGAAAUCUCGGGGCUUAACUCCGAAACUGCAUUCGAUACUGCCGUGCUUGAGGACUGGAGAGGAGACUGGAAUUUACGGUGUAGCGGUGAAAUGCGUAGAUAUCGUAAGGAAGACCAGUGGCGAAGGCGGGUCUCUGGACAGUUCCUGACGCUGAGGCACGAAGGCCAGGGGAGCAAACGGG